GAUGAACGCUGGCGGCGUGCCUAACACAUGCAAGUCGAGCGAACAGACCAUGAGCUUGUUCCUUUCACGUUAGCGGCGGACGGGUGAGUAACACGUGGAUCACCCACUUAUCUGUCGGGGAUAAUCACGGGAAACCGGAUCUAAUACUGGAUAAUAUACUGAACCGCAUUGUUCAUUAGAGAUUGACGGCUUUGGGGUCUGUUAUAGCUGCUUCCGCGCUGGAUUAGCUAGUUGGUAAGGUAACGGCUUAUCAAGGCUACGAUGCGUAGCCGACCUGAGAGGGUGAUCGGCCACACUGGAACUGAGACACGGUCCAGACUCCUACGGGAGGCAGCAGUAGGGAAUCUUCCGCAAAGGGCGAAAGCCUGACGGAGCAACGCCGCGUGAGUGAUGAAGGUCUUCGGAUCGUAAAACUCUGUUAUUAGGGAAGAACAAAUGUGUAAGUAACUAUGCACGUCUUGACGGUACCUAAUCAGAAAGCCACGGCUAACUACGUG
This 497-nucleotide ribosomal RNA is filed under the name uncultured bacterium. RNAcentral's name for it is "partial 16S ribosomal RNA". It matches the Rfam family "Bacterial small subunit ribosomal RNA", at positions 28 to 507 of the family's 1533-position model. The record is from RNAcentral.